Molecule: long non-coding RNA, 802 nt
Filed under: Homo sapiens (human)
Lineage: Eukaryota; Metazoa; Chordata; Mammalia; Primates; Hominidae
Description: HSALNT0073586
Source: RNAcentral
CAAUGACCCAGCAGGCAGGGAGCAAGGAAAUUAACAGUCUUACCUCAUUCUCCUAUCAACCCCAAUCUGCCACCAGGCUUCCCACUGACAGAACCUCAUGGAACCUAGAGGGCAAGGGAUUCAGUAGACACGGUCCAUGCAGGAGAAUGAUAAGGGGAGAGAGUAAGAAAGCAAUGAGAUACACAUGUCUUGACUGCUUCUCUUCAUGCUGAAAUCCUGGGGGAAAGAAGUGCUAAAUCAGUUGAGGACAUGGGAACAUUUAUUCUGGCCUCACCUCCAACACAGGAGACCACAUUUCAACAAAAGUUUUGGGGGAGAAAACAUCGAACUGUAGCAUAUACAUACUCGGCAAUUAUUCCAAAUAAUACAAAAUGAUUUACCAAAUAGGAAGAAAUUUGGGUACAGAGACAGACAAGCACCAAGAGAAGAUGAUGUGAAGAAGCACAGCGAGAACACCAUGUGAAAAUGGAGGACUGGAAUGAAGCAUCUACAAGCCAGGAAAUGUCUGAGGCUACCAGAAGCCAGGAGAGAGGCCUGGAACAGAUCCUGCACUAGAACCUUCAAAGAGAGCAUGGUCCUGCUGACAUGUUGAUUUUGGACUUCUGGCCUCCAGAGCUGUGAGAAUAAAUUUCAGUUGUUUUAAGCCAUCCAGUUUUUGGUACCUUAUUAUGGCAGCCCUAGCAAACUAAUAUAGACUCCGAUAAGAAUUCAACUGAUAUAUGCCAUGAAAUUUAGUAUAUCAUCAGGACUGGGAGAAACUGGUAACUUUAUAGGUGAAUAUGAAAGAUGAUAGGGAUAACUG